Molecule: ribosomal RNA, 460 nt
Filed under: uncultured bacterium
Lineage: Bacteria
Description: partial 16S ribosomal RNA
Rfam family: Bacterial small subunit ribosomal RNA
Source: RNAcentral
CCUACGGGAGGCAGCAGUGAGGAAUAUUGGUCAAUGGCCGCAGGGCUGAACCAGCCAAGUCGCGUGAGGGAUGACGGUCCUAUGGAUUGUAAACCUCUUUUGUCAGGGAGCAAAGGGCGCCACGUGUGGCGUUUUGCGAGUACCUGAAGAAAAAGCAUCGGCUAACUCCGUGCCAGCAGCCGCGGUAAUACGGAGGAUGCGAGCGUUAUCCGGAUUUAUUGGGUUUAAAGGGUGCGUAGGCGGUUUUAUAAGUUAGAGGUGAAAAUUCGGGGCUCAACUCCGGACGUGCCUCUAAUACUGUAUGACUAGAGAAUAGAUGCGGUAGGCGGAAUGUAUGGUGUAGCGGUGAAAUGCGUAGAGAUCAUACAGAACACCGAUUGCGAAGGCAGCUUACCAAACUACAUCUGACGUUGAGGCACGAAAGCGUGGGGAGCAAACAGGAUUAGAUACCCCUGUAGUC